This 257-nucleotide ribosomal RNA is filed under the name uncultured bacterium. RNAcentral's name for it is "partial 16S ribosomal RNA". It matches the Rfam family "Bacterial small subunit ribosomal RNA", at positions 524 to 777 of the family's 1533-position model. The record is from RNAcentral.
UACGGAGGGAGCUAGCGUUGUUCGGAAUUACUGGGCGUAAAGCGCGCGUAGGCGGCUUUGUAAGUUAGAGGUGAAAGCCCGGGGCUCAACCCCGGAACUGGCCUUUAAGACUGCAUCGCUUGAAUCCAGGAGAGGUGAGUGGAAUUCCGGAGUGUAGAGGUGAAAUUCGUAGAUAUUCGCAAGAACACCAGUGGCGAAAGGCGGCUCACUGGCCCGGUACUGACGCUGAGGCACGAAAGCGUGGGGAGCAAACAGGG